Molecule: ribosomal RNA, 253 nt
Filed under: uncultured bacterium
Lineage: Bacteria
Description: partial 16S ribosomal RNA
Rfam family: Bacterial small subunit ribosomal RNA
Source: RNAcentral
UACGAAGAGGGCUAGCGUUGCUCGGAAUCACUGGGCGUAAAGCGCACGUAGGCGGAUUGUUAAGUCAGGGGUGAAAUCCUGGAGCUCAACUCCAGAACUGCCUUUGAUACUGGCGAUCUUGAGUCCGGGAGAGGUGAGUGGAACUGCGAGUGUAGAGGUGAAAUUCGUAGAUAUUCGCAAGAACACCAGUGGCGAAGGCGGCUCACUGGCCCAGUACUGACGCUGAGGUGCGAAAGCGUGGGGAGCAAACAGG